Molecule: ribosomal RNA, 698 nt
Filed under: uncultured Pseudomonadota bacterium
Lineage: Bacteria; Pseudomonadati; Pseudomonadota
Description: bacterial SSU rRNA
Rfam family: Bacterial small subunit ribosomal RNA
Source: RNAcentral
AUUGAACGCUGGCGGUAUGCCUAACACAUGCAAGUCGAACGAGGUAGCAAUACCUAGUGGCGGACGGGUGAGGAAUACGUAGGGAUCUGCCUUUAAGUGGGGGAUAACCCGGGGAAACCCGGAUUAAUACCGCAUGAUCUCGCAAGAGCAAAGAGGGGGACCGCAAGGCCUCUCGCUUUUAGAGGAACCUACGUCGGAUUAGCUUGUUGGUGAGGUAACGGCUCACCAAGGCGACGAUCCGUAACUGGUCUGAGAGGAUGAUCAGUCACACCGGAACUGAGACACGGUCCGGACUCCUACGGGAGGCAGCAGUGGGGAAUAUUGGACAAUGGGCGAAAGCCUGAUCCAGCAAUACCGCGUGUGUGAAGAAGGCCUUCGGGUUGUAAAGCACUUUAAGUUGGGAAGAAAAAACUUCAAUUAAUACUUGAAGUCUUGACGGUACCGACAGAAUAAGCACCGGCUAACUCUGUGCCAGCAGCCGCGGUAAUACAGAGGGUGCUAGCGUUAAUCGGAUUUACUGGGCGUAAAGCGUGCGUAGGCGGUUUGAUAAGUCGGUUGUGAAAGCCCCGGGCUCAACCUGGGAAUUGCGGCCGAUACUGUCAGACUAGAAAACGGUAGAGGGAGGCGGAACUCCAGGUGUAGCGGUGAAAUGCGUAGAUAUCUGGAAGAACACCGAUGGCGAAGGCAACCUCCUGGGC